RNAcentral lists this ribosomal RNA (483 nucleotides) under uncultured bacterium. RNAcentral's name for it is "bacterial SSU rRNA". It matches the Rfam family "Bacterial small subunit ribosomal RNA", at positions 60 to 524 of the family's 1533-position model. The record is from RNAcentral.
AGUCGAGCGGACCGAAGGAAGCUUGCUCCUUUAGGUUAGCGGCGGACGGGUGAGUAACACGUGGGCAACCUGCCCUGCAGACUGGGAUAACUUCGGGAAACCGGAGCUAAUACCGGAUAACACCGAAAACCGCAUGGUUUUCGGUUGAAAGGCGGCUUUUAGCUAUCACUGCAGGAUGGGCCCGCGGCGCAUUAGCUAGUUGGUGAGGUAACGGCUCACCAAGGCGACGAUGCGUAGCCGACCUGAGAGGGUGACCGGCCACACUGGGACUGAGACACGGCCCAGACUCCUACGGGAGGCAGCAGUAGGGAAUCUUCCGCAAUGGACGAAAGUCUGACGGAGCAACGCCGCGUGAGCGAAGAAGGUCUUCGGAUCGUAAAGCUCUGUUGUCAGGGAAGAACAAGUACCGUUCGAACAGGGCGGUACCUUGACGGUACCUGACGAGGAAGCCACGGCUAACUACGUGCCAGCAGCCGCGGUAAU